RNAcentral lists this ribosomal RNA (497 nucleotides) under uncultured bacterium. RNAcentral's name for it is "partial 16S ribosomal RNA". It matches the Rfam family "Bacterial small subunit ribosomal RNA", at positions 28 to 507 of the family's 1533-position model. The record is from RNAcentral.
GAUGAACGCUGGCGGCGUGCCUAAUACAUGCAAGUCGAGCGAACAGACGAGGAGCUUGCUCCUCUGACGUUAGCGGCGGACGGGUGAGUAACACGUGGAUAACCUACCUAUAAGACUGGGAUAACUUCGGGAAACCGGAGCUAAUACCGGAUAAUAUAUUGAACCGCAUGGUUCAAUAGUGAAAGACGGUUUUGCUGUCACUUAUAGAUGGAUCCGCGCCGCAUUAGCUAGUUGGUAAGGUAACGGCUUACCAAGGCGACGAUGCGUAGCCGACCUGAGGGGGUGAUCGGCCACACCGGAAACGAGACACGGUCCAGACUCCUACGGGAGGCAGCAGUAGGGAAUCUUCCGCAAUGGGCGAAAGCCUGACGGAGCAACGGCGCGUGAGUGAUGAAGGUCUUCGGAUCGUAAAACUCUGUUAUUAGGGAAGAACAAAUGUGUAAGUAACUAUGCACGGCUUGACGGUACCUAAUCAGAAAGCCAGGGCUAACUACGUG